GUCUUGGAUUAAAGAAUCCUGUCAGAUACCCAUUAUCCAUGAACACCAUGACUGAGCUGGCCACCAGAGUAGAGCUCUCCAGUACGAGGUCUACACCUUUGCAGAAAAAUGUGUGUCAUUCAGAUUUUUUGCCUGAGUUGGGCAGUCACCAAAGAGAAUUACAAAGAGCUGGACCCACCCUGCACUUGGCUUUAGCGCUGUUUACAACACAACGAGAAGUGAAGCGUUGAGAGACAAUUUUCUGAAUAAUUCAAGAGUUGCGCGUUGGCAUACAUUUUGCCUGGGAAUUCUAGAAGGGAUUUAAAAAAAAAAAGAAAUUAAAGGGUAAGAAAGCAUACCUUUUGAUCCUGAAACUGCAAGCUACAAUUUC
Molecule: long non-coding RNA, 370 nt
Organism: Prionailurus viverrinus (fishing cat)
Lineage: Eukaryota; Metazoa; Chordata; Mammalia; Carnivora; Felidae
Exons: 3
Source: RefSeq, a predicted model, not a curated record